CACGUAGUUAGCCGGAGCUUAUUCCUCAGGUACCGUCAAAUUCCUCUUUCUUCCCUGAUAAAAGAACUUUACAUUACGAAUAACUUCUUCGUUCACGCGGCGUUGCUCGGUCAGGGUUCCCCCCAUUGCCGAAAAUUCCCUACUGCUGCCUCCCCGUAGGAGUAUGGACCGUUCUCAGUUCCAUUGUGGCCGUUCAACCUCUCAGUCCGGCUACGCAUCAUCGCCUUGGUAGGCCCUUACCCCACCAACUAGCUAAUGCGCCACAGGCCCCUCCUUAAGCAGAUCUCUCUUUUAAAUAUAAAAGAUUCUUCCUCUAUAUCCUAUCCAGUUUUAUCCAUCGUUUCCAAUGGCUAUCCUCGUCUUAAGGGUAGGUUACCUAUGUAUUACUCACCCGUUCGCCACUAAAGUACCCGAAGGUACUUCCGUUCGACUUGCAUGUAUUAGGCACGCCGCCAGCGUUAAUCCUGAGCCAGGAUCAAACUCU
RNAcentral lists this ribosomal RNA (484 nucleotides) under uncultured Anaeroplasma sp. RNAcentral describes it as "partial 16S ribosomal RNA". Lineage: Bacteria; Bacillati; Mycoplasmatota; Mollicutes; Anaeroplasmatales; Anaeroplasmataceae. The record is from RNAcentral.